This 75-nucleotide transfer RNA is filed under the name Staphylococcus aureus. RNAcentral describes it as "tRNA-Gly-GCC". Lineage: Bacteria; Bacillati; Bacillota; Bacilli; Caryophanales; Staphylococcaceae. The record is from RNAcentral.
AAGUGUUGACUUUAUCAAUUGAAUGAAGUAAUAUAUAAAAGUCGCCAAAAACAGACGAAACACACUAAAAGCUGA